RNAcentral lists this ribosomal RNA (71 nucleotides) under uncultured rumen archaeon. Its description in RNAcentral is "partial 16S ribosomal RNA". The record is from RNAcentral.
CACAUACAUGCUCCGAUAUUCACUAGUGAUUUCUGUUUGAUCCUGGCGGAGGUCCAACGAGCGAGACCCAA